Cyanistes caeruleus (blue tit) is the source of this 200-nucleotide long non-coding RNA. RefSeq lists it as uncharacterized. Lineage: Eukaryota; Metazoa; Chordata; Aves; Passeriformes; Paridae. The record is from RefSeq and is a predicted model, not a curated record.
GUUUCUGUUAAACUCUGUCAGGCCUCAGUUUAGUUUCAGUUAUGUCAGGAGGAGAGUAAGGGCAUAAGAGGCAGGGACCUGUGGAGCUGGAAAUAUCUCUUAGUGGACUCCUCUGAAGCAAAAUGUCUUGUACAGCUCGGGCAGACGUAGGAGUGUUUCUGCAGAAAGAUCUUUAUCAAGGGCUCCAAAAAGAAGAGGGG